This 253-nucleotide ribosomal RNA is filed under the name uncultured bacterium. RNAcentral's name for it is "partial 16S ribosomal RNA". It matches the Rfam family "Bacterial small subunit ribosomal RNA", at positions 524 to 776 of the family's 1533-position model. The record is from RNAcentral.
GACAGAGGCCUCAAGCGUUAGGCGGAAUCACUGGGCUUAAAGCGUGUGUAGGCGGAUCGUUAAGUGUCUUGUGAAAUCCCACGGCUCACCCGUGGAACGGCUGGGCAUACUGGCGAUCUUGGGCCAACUAGGGGCAACUGGAACAAGCGGUGGAGCGGUGAAAUGCGUAGAGAUCGGAAAGAACACCAAUGGCGAAAGCACUCUGCUGGGCCGACACUGACACUGAGAGACGAAAGCUAGGGGAGCGAAUGGG